AAGAAACACACACAUGUUUAGGCAAGGUGCUGGCUAGCUGAGUAGAACACUUGAAAAAGAAGAAGGAGAGCCGCACAUUCUUGGAGCUCAGAGGCAAGUGUAACGGCCGUUGGUGGAAGAAGGUGAGGACCAAGGUGCAGAGUGUGUUGGUCAGUCAGCCAGGAUCUGCCGGAACCACCAGCCAGCCAGGAUCUGCCAGAGCCAUCAACCUGCCUGAGCUUCCUCUCAGUCCUGAGCUUCCUCUCAGUCCUGAGCUUCCUCUCAGUCCUGAGCUCCCUCUCAGUCCUGAGCUCCUCAGUACUGAGCUUCCCCUCAGUCCUGAGCUUCCCCUCAGUCCUGAGCUUCCCCUCAGUCUUGAGCUUCCCCUCAGUCCCGAGCUUCCCCUCAGUCCCGAGCUACCCCUCAGUCCCGAGCUACCCCUCAGUCCUGACCUACCUCAGUCCUGAGCUGCCCCUCAGUCCGGAGCUGCCCCUCAGUCCAGUGGGGCCCGUUGUUAGGGUUCCUAGGCCAAGGUCAGCGGCGAGGGUCGCCACUCAAGGGACGCUAAGGAGGUGGACUAAGACAAUUAUGGAGUGGGGUCCACGUCCAGCGCCAGAGCCGCC
Molecule: long non-coding RNA, 602 nt
Organism: Oncorhynchus tshawytscha (Chinook salmon)
Lineage: Eukaryota; Metazoa; Chordata; Actinopteri; Salmoniformes; Salmonidae
Source: Ensembl